Molecule: transfer RNA, 77 nt
Filed under: Hellea balneolensis
Lineage: Bacteria; Pseudomonadati; Pseudomonadota; Alphaproteobacteria; Maricaulales; Robiginitomaculaceae
Description: tRNA-Met
Rfam family: tRNA
About the family: Transfer RNA (tRNA) molecules are approximately 80 nucleotides in length. Their secondary structure includes four short double-helical elements and three loops (D, anti-codon, and T loops).
Source: RNAcentral
GGUGAGGUAGCUCAGCUGGUUAGAGCGCAGGACUCAUAAUCCUGAGGUCGAGAGUUCAAGUCUCUCUCUCACCACCA